RNAcentral lists this long non-coding RNA (610 nucleotides) under Medicago truncatula (barrel medic). RNAcentral's name for it is "long non-coding RNA (MTRU_LNC001771)". The record is from RNAcentral. Lineage: Eukaryota; Viridiplantae; Streptophyta; Magnoliopsida; Fabales; Fabaceae.
UUCAUUUGUUUUCCACAUAACAUUAUAUUAUAUAUUCCUUUUGAUUAGGGCUUAGCUAUAAGAGAUUGUGUUGUGUGUUUUUUUAGCUGCCAAUCAUAUCCUCUUCUUACAAAGUUGAUUCCUUUGCUUCCUUCUUAAGCCACAUUUCAACCAAUAAAUUUCCUUUUCUGUCUCACCUAUAGUUUGAUAAAUAUAUUAGUUAUGUAACCAAAUUGUUUGGGCAAGAGCUCCUUCGAAGGAUGUAUAUGGGGAAUAGCAGAUUCGAUUUUCAGGGGAACAAUUCUUGACCAGUGCGCAUGCUUCUACACAUGAGUCAGAUUAGUUGUCCACUUUUGGUGAGUCGAAAACCGUUGCGAAAGCUAAAAAAAUAAAUAAAUAUAUUACUAUGUGCAUGGCAUGCUUUGCUUUUUCUUCAUUGAGUAAGGUUAUGGUGUAAAUUAAUUAGCUCACUUUUCUUUUCAUGGUCACAUUUGCAUUUCUUCUAAUAAUGAAUAUCACUUUUAUGCUUCCUCUAAUUAUUUUAAUAUUUAUUUUUUUGGUUUUGAGUGCGAUGGGUUAUUUUUACUUUGCUUUUAUGUAUAUGCUUUUCCCCUCACUCAACUUGGAGAUU